This 313-nucleotide ribosomal RNA is filed under the name Clostridioides difficile. RNAcentral's name for it is "bacterial SSU rRNA". It matches the Rfam family "Bacterial small subunit ribosomal RNA", at positions 1016 to 1329 of the family's 1533-position model. The record is from RNAcentral. Lineage: Bacteria; Bacillati; Bacillota; Clostridia; Peptostreptococcales; Peptostreptococcaceae.
CCCUUCGGGGACAUUGGUGACAGGUGGUGCAUGGUUGUCGUCAGCUCGUGUCGUGAGAUGUUGGGUUAAGUCCCGCAACGAGCGCAACCCUUGUCUUUAGUUGCCAUCAUUAAGUUGGGCACUCUAGAGAGACUGCCAGGGAUAACCUGGAGGAAGGUGGGGAUGACGUCAAAUCAUCAUGCCCCUUAUGCUUAGGGCUACACACGUGCUACAAUGGGUAGUACAGAGGGUUGCCAAGCCGUAAGGUGGAGCUAAUCCCUUAAAGCUACUCUCAGUUCGGAUUGUAGGCUGAAACUCGCCUACAUGAAGCUGG